This 570-nucleotide ribosomal RNA is filed under the name uncultured cyanobacterium. RNAcentral's name for it is "bacterial SSU rRNA". It matches the Rfam family "Bacterial small subunit ribosomal RNA", at positions 192 to 778 of the family's 1533-position model. Lineage: Bacteria; Bacillati; Cyanobacteriota. The record is from RNAcentral.
GCCUAUUCGUGAAAGAUUUAUCGCCUCUAGAUGAGCUCGCGUCUGAUUAGCUAGUUGGUAGGGUAAAAGCCUACCAAGGCAUCGAUCAGUAGCUGGUCUGAGAGGAUGGCCAGCCACACUGGGACUGAGACACGGCCCAGACUCCUACGGGAGGCAGCAGUGGGGAAUUUUCCGCAAUGGGCGAAAGCCUGACGGAGCAAGACCGCGUGAGGGAAGAAGGCUCUUGGGUCGUAAACCUCUUUUGUCAGGGAAGAACACAAUGACGGUACCUGACGAAUCAGCCUCGGCUAACUCCGUGCCAGCAGCCGCGGUAAUACGGAGGAGGCAAGCGUUAUCCGGAAUUAUUGGGCGUAAAGCGUCCGUAGAUGGUCGCUUCAAGUCUGCUGUCAAAGACCGGGGCUUAACCCCAGAAAGGCAGUGGAAACUGAACAGCUAGAGAGAGGUAGGGGUAGAGGGAAUUCCCAGUGUAGCGGUGAAAUGCGUAGAGAUUGGGAAGAACAUCAGUGGCGAAAGCGCUCUACUGGACCUUAUCUGACAUUGAGGGACGAAAGCUAGGGGAGCGAAUGGGAU